AAGGAAUAUUGGUCAAUGGACGCAAGUCUGAACCAGCCAUGCCGCGUGGAGGAUGAAGGUCCUCUGGAUUGUAAACUUCUUUUAUCUGGGACGAAACACUUCUUUUCUAAGAGGCCUGACGGUACCAGAUGAAUAAGCACCGGCUAACUCCGUGCCAGCAGCCGCGGUAAUACGGAGGGUGCAAGCGUUAUCCGGAUUCACUGGGUUUAAAGGGUGCGUAGGUGGGUAUGUAAGUCAGUGGUGAAAUCCCCGAGCUUAACUUGGGAACUGCCAUUGAUACUAUAGGUCUUGAAUUAUCUGGAGGGAAGCUGAAUAUGUCAUGUAGCGGUGAAAUGCUUAGAUAUGACAUAGAACACCAAUUGCGAAGGCAGCUUACGACAUAUAAAUUGACGCUGAGGCACGAAAGCGUGGGAUCAAA
RNAcentral lists this ribosomal RNA (418 nucleotides) under uncultured bacterium. Its description in RNAcentral is "bacterial SSU rRNA". It matches the Rfam family "Bacterial small subunit ribosomal RNA", at positions 356 to 772 of the family's 1533-position model. The record is from RNAcentral.